This 73-nucleotide transfer RNA is filed under the name Actinocatenispora sera. RNAcentral describes it as "tRNA-Ala". The record is from RNAcentral. Lineage: Bacteria; Bacillati; Actinomycetota; Actinomycetes; Micromonosporales; Micromonosporaceae.
GGGCUGUACGCACCGGCUGUGCGGCGCCGCCUGGCAGGCAGCGUGUGCAGGGUUCGACCCCCUGACGGUCCAC